GAAUUCCACUGGCCAAGGAUGGAGAGAAGACAAUCUUUCCCUGUGAGCACGAGGCAGCCCUCAGAUUGUGCAUGCCGUGACCUUGAAGACCAGGCUUAAGCACCUGCUCUGGCAACUAAAUUCCAGAGAUCAGUGAGCUAUUCAGGUGGUCUGGUAUAAAUGUCAAGCUCAAGUGGUUGGCUGAAGUCCAUCUCAGAUGUUUCAGCAUGGUUUCUGCUUGUAAGAUCCCUAAUGUGGCAGUUUGGGGCAGGGUUUGUUUCUCUCGUAUUUCCAGACUGAGUCCUGGCUUCAAAGCUGUGGACAACAGGGACUCUGAAUUACUCCUUGACCUUUUCUCACACAGUAGGUGACCAGAAGUCAGAAGUCUCAUGGGGACAUUGUCUUAUUGCAUGUAACCUUUUCUCAUUGUCACAGAGUUUGUGUAAGGUGGAGCAAUGUGUGAUGGAUGCUCUUGUCUCAUAUUGAUCAGAUUAUUCUUACAACAGAGUCUGGGCUUCCACUUUUCCCUACUGGGGAGCAGCAUCUCCUGGAGAGGCCAAAGAAAAGGGCUGAUCAGACAGGUUUCACAUUUGUUGCAAGCAUGCUGAUUGAAAAAAACUACCCCAACAACAUAAUCUCAUGUAGAAAGUAUCAGUUCCCCAAUUCAGAGAGAAGUCUUCUGCAUCAGCUUUGAACACUUAGAAGUGGAUUCCCUUCAGAAGCCACCUGAAAGGUCAGUGUUUACCUUAAAAUUCAAAUGAACUACAAAUAAAGGCAAGAGCAGAGGGCAAGUCAUUCCAUCUACUCUGGCAACUGUCUUUGGAUAGAUGAACCCCAUUUUGGCAAGCCACCUCUUCUCUGACCAGACAGGUGGCCAACAUGGCUAGCUUAGAUUAGAUGCUGGACUCCUGAAAAGCUAAAUCUAGGUAAUAGGAAUCCCAACCUUAACAUUUUAAUCUUAAGACAAACUGAGUGGCUCUGGGCCCACCAACACAGGCUAUUGUCCCUUUUCCAAAAAAACAAGCACUUUAUGCCAGAUAAAUUUUAGAAGUGGUUGCCUCUCAGCUGAGAUGUGGCACUGUAGUACUCCUGCUGCCAGAGCAUUCCUGCUCUGCUGAUACACAGAAAAAUACCUCCUCAGCUGCAUGCUGAGCAGUGAGAAGCCUCAGGCUGAGAACAACAGAAUGCUCAAGUGAUUUUGGCUAGUACAUCUGAAUAAAAGAACCUUCGUAAUAUUAGAACAACAAAACACUUAACUGCUCUUAGAACAAACCACUUUAUGCACAGUAGCAAAGUGAUCCUCGCUAGAAUGCAGUGGUAUCUCAACAAGGGAUCCAUGCCUAACCUUUCCAGCAUUAAUCACUGGAAACUCCCACGCCACCAAUGUGCUUUUACUUGUACGCUAUGGAAAUAAUGGUCUCAUCUGUACACACGAAGUUAGGGGAAAGGCAAUGGCACAGAGCCCUGGGUAGCUUGUGCAUGCUGUAUAGUGAAAACUGGCAGUGUCUCCUUUUACAGGAGCUAAAAUACUCUGCUCAAAAAUAAGGACAAUAAGAAACAGUUGAAAGCCACUUCUGGUACCAGUGUAUUUACUGGUUCUCACUUUGAGACCCGAAAGUGCUUCUGCCUUUUAAAAAUCUAAGCAUACACAAAGCAGAAAAUUUAAUUAGUUAAUUCUGUAAUGAGACCCAGACGCAGGAACCCAUGAGGAUUUUCUCUUCCAUGUUCAACUCCACAUUUCACACCCAGAGAAACUACACACUGGCUUUGGCUCCCAGCACCAUCACUGAACGCCUUCCAGCUUGGAGAGGAGAAAGCCUUCUCUGGUUACCUUCAGGCUUGUCCUUGGGGCAGAGGAGGAGAGGGAAAGGACAAAUCUGCAUCAGCAUCAGGAAAAGACCAGUGUCUGAGCUGCUUGCUAGAAAGUGAGCUCACAGAACUAAAGGUGAUGCUGGGGUUUCCAUUUACCAAAAUGUAAGUGCCUGCAAAACCAUUUUGCUCUCUGGAGACAGCAGCAGAAGGUCCAUCGCUAUUCCUAUGCUCCUUCAGGGGUGCUCUAUGAAACAGAGAAGACAGCAGCAGUCAGAGUAAAUAUUAACAGUCCUGCUCACUGCCGUAUGCUUCUGCUCCAGCUUUUAAAGCACAAUGAAAAUUGUCUGGCUCUGCUCAUAGAUGCAACAAAAGUCAUGGAUUUGAUGGAGAAUGAAGAAAGAAAAAGUAACAGUACCCAGAUACAGAUCCCUGCAGGCACAAUGCUUGCUAGAGAUGUGACUCAAGUAGCUGCUCCCCUCCCUGGUUAUUUCCAGAGCACAUGAAGUUUUUUUUCAGGUGAAAAUGCCACUGGUUUGUUUGAUUUGUUGACAGCCAGUACAAACCAAGGUUAUCCAUAUCUGGAUGGACUUACUGAUAUGCCAGGCUUCACACUUGUAGCCCAGAGCCCCAAUACCCUCAUCUUCCUCUUGAUUUGUCACAGUACAUCAGUGACAGGGAGGAGACAAACUGCUUUCAGAAAAGGAGUUGGGCUGAAUCCAAAGGUGAAUGCUGGUUUUAUGUGAGAAGUAUUUCACACAGAGUCAAGAAGAAAAUGAUCUGAAAAGCCUGCAAAAUUUCUGGGGCACUGGUAUCAGGUGCUGGAAGCACCUACAUGUUUUGGAGUGACUCUGCCUUUUUGAGAGCAGGAAGGAAGGAAAACAUAUUACUUCUUUACCACAGGAGCAUCCUGCCCCAAUACCAACAUCUUCACAGAGAAAUGGUCCUCACUUGAUUUUCAUCUUUGUGUGUGGUACAGCGUGUUCACAGAGGGAAAGAAUACAGCCACAAGGCAGAAGAUCAUCAGCAUACUGAGGCACUGCAUAAGAGCGCUCAAUGUGAGGUUACUCCAUUACUUGCAAAAGGCUGUCCUGGCUGCCAGAGCUUGCCAGGUAGCCAGGGCAAUGGGGAAUGAAGCUAGGAUAAAUGUAAGCUUCAGCAAUGCAAAUAAAGGCAAGAAACUCUA
This is a long non-coding RNA of Pezoporus occidentalis (night parrot), 2974 nucleotides long. RefSeq lists it as uncharacterized. The transcript is spliced from 2 exons. The record is from RefSeq and is a predicted model, not a curated record. NCBI's taxonomy places the organism in Eukaryota, Metazoa, Chordata, Aves, Psittaciformes, Psittacidae.